UUUUUUUUUUUUUUUUCAUUUCAUCUUGGAAAGGUUACUGUGGUAUUAAUGGUAGUUUGUAUCAUGCCCAGUAAUCUCUAGGAUAUUUGGUGAAGCAGUAAUGCUAAUCUGGUAUGGUAGAUGGGUGUGGGGUAUAUUUAUAUAUUGGGUUUUGACUUUUGAUGGCAGAAAGAAAUGGUUUUGCCCUUAUGAAAUUUAUGAUAUUCCAUUUUAGACAAUGGUUCUUUGCUAAGAUGAAAUUGCGUUUGUGAACACUUUUGGUCUGCAUUUAAGGUCCUAAUGGUUCUUGAAUGGUUUCUAGUGCAAUAAAUAUGUAUACAUUUCUCAAUAUGUAAGCUCUCUUAUUUUGAGCAAUGAACAUUUCGCACAUUAUAUUAUUGAUUGGAUCAAAGUUUAGAGG
RNAcentral lists this unclassified non-coding RNA (400 nucleotides) under Hevea brasiliensis (rubber tree). Lineage: Eukaryota; Viridiplantae; Streptophyta; Magnoliopsida; Malpighiales; Euphorbiaceae. The record is from RNAcentral.